UUCAACUGGAAGUAUGUACGGCCAGCGUGGGCAUUUGAUCAUUUAUCUUUUUAGCAUUUUAUCAUUUUGGAAGAUCUGAUACUAUGAUAUUAUGACAUGACUGGUUUAGGAUAAAUACUUCAUGGAAUGUAUUUUUGGUUUCAUGGUAGCAAUGGUAAAAGAGUGUGUUUCUGUUUAUCAAUAAUUUAUAAACUAUUGGGUUUUCCUAAAAGAUGAAAA
Molecule: unclassified non-coding RNA, 219 nt
Filed under: Hevea brasiliensis (rubber tree)
Lineage: Eukaryota; Viridiplantae; Streptophyta; Magnoliopsida; Malpighiales; Euphorbiaceae
Source: RNAcentral